RNAcentral lists this ribosomal RNA (468 nucleotides) under uncultured bacterium. RNAcentral's name for it is "partial 16S ribosomal RNA". It matches the Rfam family "Bacterial small subunit ribosomal RNA", at positions 28 to 507 of the family's 1533-position model. The record is from RNAcentral.
GACGAACGCUGGCGGCGUGCUUAACACAUGCAAGUCGAACGGAAAGGCCCUGCUUUUGUGGGGUGCUCGAGUGGCGAACGGGUGAGUAACACGUGAGUAACCUGCCCUUGACUUUGGGAUAACUUCAGGAAACUGGGGCUAAUACCGGAUAGGAGCUCCUGCUGCAUGGUGGGGGUUGGAAAGUUUCGGCGGUUGGGGAUGGACUCGCGGCUUAUCAGCUUGUUGGUGGGGUAGUGGCUUACCAAGGCUUUGACGGGUAGCCGGCCUGAGAGGGUGACCGGCCACAUUGGGACUGAGAUACGGCCCAGACUCCUACGGGAGGCAGCAGUGGGGAAUAUUGCACAAUGGGCGGAAGCCUGAUGCAGCAACGCCGCGUGCGGGAUGACGGCCCUCGGGUUGUAAACCGCUUUCGCCCGUGACGAAGCGUGAGUGACGGUAAUGGGUAAAGAAGCACCGGCUAACUACGUG